CCUACGGGAGGCAGCAGUGAGGAAUAUUGGUCAAUGGGCGCGAGCCUGAACCAGCCAAGUCGCGUGAGGGAAGACGGUCCUAUGGAUUGUAAACCUCUUUUGUCGGGGAGCAAAAGACGCCACGCGUGGCGUUCCGCGAGUACCCGAAGAAAAAGCAUCGGCUAACUCCGUGCCAGCAGCCGCGGUAAUACGGAGGAUGCGAGCAUUAUCCGGAUUUAUUGGGUUUAAAGGGUGCGUAGGCUGUGAGGUAAGUCAGCGGUGAAAUGCCCCCGCUCAACGGGGUGAAGUGCCAUUGAUACUGGCUGGCUGGAAUGCGGAUGCGGUGGGAGGAAUGUGUGGUGUAGCGGUGAAAUGCAUAGAUAUCACACAGAACACCGAUUGCGAAGGCAUCUCACGAAUCCGCGAUUGACGCUGAUGCACGAAAGCGUGGGUAUCAAACAGGAUUAGAUACCCUUGUAGUC
Molecule: ribosomal RNA, 461 nt
Filed under: uncultured bacterium
Lineage: Bacteria
Description: partial 16S ribosomal RNA
Rfam family: Bacterial small subunit ribosomal RNA
Source: RNAcentral